This 1525-nucleotide long non-coding RNA is filed under the name Populus trichocarpa (black cottonwood). RNAcentral describes it as "long non-coding RNA (PTRI_LNC004168)". Lineage: Eukaryota; Viridiplantae; Streptophyta; Magnoliopsida; Malpighiales; Salicaceae. The record is from RNAcentral.
CGUUUUGGAAUGCAACCAUGAGAAUCAAGCACAUCCAACUGACUCCAAUCCAGCACUAAGAAACGGUAAUGACUUUGUAAGGAAAAAAUCAAUACUAAAUUUGCUCUCACCUUCAAAACUCUCAUCAUUUUUGCCAACUGCCAUGGCUUCAUUUGACAGGGGAGUUGGAUUUGCAGCUUGUAGGUUUAGUUGCAAUUUCCCUCUGGGAGAUAGACGAGCAUUCCCUCCAGCGCUUCCACUCGAACAGCCUGCAGAAACUUCAGCAUAACAUCAGUUUCUUCAUUUAUUGAUGCAGUUAAAUAAGCAUAGGCACCACUAGAAUGAUUUAUCAUAAACAGAUUCAUGAUUACGGGCACCAAUCAAUACAUUCUACUAACAAUCAAAUGUUAUUAUGCAAGCAUUCAUUCUUAAUCAAACAUUAAUUUACAAAGUAAUUUCAUUUCAUUAAAAUAAUUAACCUAAAAAAGUCUUUAAAAUAUAAGGAGGGAGAAGUGGUUAUAGGCGAGCUUAGCAGCGUUGUUUUGAGCUUUCUUAAAGGAAGAAGAGGGGAAGGAGAGGAAAAGAGGGUGGCGUUGAUGGUGACAGUGGAAAAAAAGAGAGGGCUGUGAUCUUGUCCCAGUUUAGUGACUUCACAGGUAGGGAACUCCCAUCCUAUUAUUAUGGUUUAUAGUUAGUGAAUGAAUUAAAGCGGCUACAGAGAGAAGGUUAUUGACAAUGAAGAGGGAAGAUGCAAGAGGAGAAACUGGGGGAGAAAAACCUCGUUUCAAGUGUAGUGCCAUCAUGCUCCAUUGCCAAACAGGCUAUCGAACCCCAAUAUGACCAUUUUUUGGACCCAAUUACUGUUUACAAUUUAUUAUGCAUCCCUCAUAUAUGGUUAUAGCAAGAAAUGGAAUGUUUCCAUAAAGUUUUGUUUAGAAAGAGAGAGAGCAUCAUGGACACUUGCGGGUAUCUGAAACCUGUGAGCUAGGCUAUGUGUUGACUACAAGCACCAUGGAGCCCACCAGGCUAUCUGUGAAUCAGGUAUUGGACACUCAUGUAUGCCCAUAGCAUUUCCUUAAAAAAGAUCCCCUUGGAAAAAUUGCAUGGCAGGUGCACCAGGAAGACCAAAAGAGGGGGAGCACUGAUGAAAAUUAAGCUGAAUACGAACAAUAUAUUUUUUUUAAAAAAAGGAGGUUGGUUAUGUAGGUUAUCUUUUGACACCAUAAAGACAACUGAUUUAGCAAAAAAAAAAAUUCUAGAUGCUGUGUAUAUAACCUGUUUUCAUGCCUGUCAACUUAGAGAGGAAAACCUAUUAUUUCCAUAACAAUUGGUUGCCGUUUUGGAAUGCUACCAUGAGUAUCAAGCACAUCCAACUGACUCCAAUCCAGCACUAAGAAACGGUAAUGAUUUUGUAAGGAAAAAAUCAAUACUAAAUUUGCUCUCACCUUCAAAACUCUCAUCAUUUUUGCCAACUGCCACGGCUUCAUUUGACAGGGGAGUUGGAUUUGCGGCUUGUAGGUUUAGUUGCAAUUUCCCUCUGGGAGAU